GACGAACGCUGGCGGCGUGCUUAACACAUGCAAGUCGUACGGUAAGGCCCUUUCGGGGGUACACGAGUGGCGCACGGGUGAGUAACACGUGAGUAACCUGCCCACAACUUUGGGAUAACGCUAGGAAACUGGUGCUAAUACUGGAUAUGUGCUCCUGCUGCAUGGUGGGGGUUGGAAAGCUCCGGCGGUUGUGGAUGGACUCGCGGCCUAUCAGCUUGUUGGUGGGGUAGUGGCCUACCAAGGCGGCGACGGGUAGCCGGCCUGAGAGGGUGACCGGCCACAUUGGGACUGAGAGACGGCCCAGACUCCUACGGGAGGCAGCAGUGGGGAAUAUUGCACAAUGGGCGCAAGCCUGAUGCAGCAACGCCGCGUGCGGGAUGACGGCCUUCGGGUUGUAAACCGCUUUCAGCAGGGACGAAGCUUUUUGUGACGGUACCUGCAGAAGAAGCACCGGCUAACUACGUG
Molecule: ribosomal RNA, 465 nt
Filed under: uncultured bacterium
Lineage: Bacteria
Description: partial 16S ribosomal RNA
Rfam family: Bacterial small subunit ribosomal RNA
Source: RNAcentral